RNAcentral lists this ribosomal RNA (464 nucleotides) under Vreelandella stevensii. RNAcentral describes it as "partial 16S ribosomal RNA". It matches the Rfam family "Bacterial small subunit ribosomal RNA", at positions 338 to 794 of the family's 1533-position model. Lineage: Bacteria; Pseudomonadati; Pseudomonadota; Gammaproteobacteria; Oceanospirillales; Halomonadaceae. The record is from RNAcentral.
CCUACGGGAGGCUGCAGUGGGGAAUAUUGGACAAUGGGCGAAAGCCUGAUCCAGCCAUGCCGCGUGUGUGAAGAAGGCCUUCGGGUUGUAAAGCACUUUCAGUGGGGAAGAAAGCCUUGGGGCUAAUACCCUCGAGGAAGGACAUCACCCACAGAAGAAGCACCGGCUAACUCCGUGCCAGCAGCCGCGGUAAUACGGAGGGUGCGAGCGUUAAUCGGAAUUACUGGGCGUAAAGCGCGCGUAGGCGGUCUGAUAAGCCGGUUGUGAAAGCCCCGGGCUCAACCUGGGAACGGCAUCCGGAACUGUCAGGCUAGAGUGCAGGAGAGGAAGGUAGAAUUCCCGGUGUAGCGGUGAAAUGCGUAGAGAUCGGGAGGAAUACCAGUGGCGAAGGCGGCCUUCUGGACUGACACUGACACUGAGGUGCGAAAGCGUGGGUAGCAAACAGGAUUAGAUACCCCAGUAGU